AGUGAACGCUGGCGGCAGGCCUAACACAUGCAAGUCGAACGGCAGCACAGUAAGUGUUUGCUCUUACGGGUGGCGAGUGGCGGACGGGUGAGGAAAAUAUCCGAAUCUACUCUUUCGUGGGGGAUAACGUAGGGAAACUUACGCUCAUACCGCAUAUGAUCUACGGGUGAAAGCAGGGGAUCUUCGGACCUUGCGCGAUUGAACGAGCCGAUGUCGGACUAGUUAGUUGGCGGGGUAAAGGCCCACCAGGGCGACGAUCCGUAGCUGGUCUGAGAGGACGGUCGGCCGCACGGGAACUGGACCGGGGACCAGGGUCCUGCGAGAGGCAGCAGUGGGGAAUAUUGGACAGUAGGCGCAAACAUGGUCCAGCCAGACCACGUGGGUGAAGGAGGCGUUGGGGUUGUGAUGCCCUUUUUUUGGGAAAGAAAAGCAUCAGGUUAAUACCACGCUGUACUGACGGUACCCAGUAAAGAAGCACCGGCUAACUUCGUG
This 492-nucleotide ribosomal RNA is filed under the name uncultured bacterium. RNAcentral's name for it is "partial 16S ribosomal RNA". It matches the Rfam family "Bacterial small subunit ribosomal RNA", at positions 29 to 507 of the family's 1533-position model. The record is from RNAcentral.